GGAUCUAAUUGUCCGGUUUCGCAAUGGCAAGGACAAGGCAACAAUGCUCAUGGCCCUCAAAAACCGUGACUCUUACACCUUUGAAGGAAUGCAACUCACCUUUUACCCAGACCUCUCGGGAGGCACUCUGGCGUGGCGGAGAUCCCUCCAACCGCUCACCACCCUACUUAGGCAGAAGAACAUACAGUAUCAAUGGAGGCUGUCACGAACUCUGAUGAUCCGACACGGAGAAACCCAGCACGCAGUCCGCGACAUCACUGAGGCACAGACCCUGUUGCACACACUGGGACUCACACAGGACCUGCUACCGCCAGCUGGAUUGCAGAGACCCAAUCCCGCACCCCAGCGCUGGGACCCGGAGAAAGUGACUGUGUUCGUCCCACGGAAGCCCCCAUCGACCGGAGCCGCAACACUCACCACUUGAACUCUUACUUAUGUUACGGUGCAUCCCACACACAGUUACCCUGAGCUACCACUAGCCUAUACAUGUUUUAUUUUUACUUAUGGUUAUAAUUUUGUAUAAUUGUAUUCUUCUGCUUUUCAUUGUUCUCACACACUAGGCUUCACCCUAGACACGGCAGCGUGCGCACACUCCCGUAGAGCGGCCAACCGACCGCAUACUAACACCCCCCAGGCCCGAUAGACUAAGAGAUCAUCAGACGUAAUGUUAGCGAGAAUGCCUAAAAUACUGCUAUGUACAUAUGUGUAACCAAACAUAGUGCCUAUAAAGAACAGAGUAGAGUAAACACGCUCUCUGUUUGUCCUACUGAGAUAUAAUCCGUUGCGAUGCUUGUGAGAACGACUGAAACACUUUUUAUAUUACCUGUUAUAGCGAACUACAACCACACAUGUUUAAGCCAGUUUAACUUGUAACUAACUAUAGAAAUGUCCAAGCCUGAGAAACAUUAGCAAGUUAUUAAAUUUGAUCGCCAACUUUCUAACUACGUUCUGUCAUAUCCUAACAAUACCUACGUAAUGUAAAACCAG
Non-coding RNA from Pelobates cultripes (western spadefoot toad), 987 nucleotides. The record is from the annotation of a GenBank genome assembly. NCBI's taxonomy places the organism in Eukaryota, Metazoa, Chordata, Amphibia, Anura, Pelobatidae.